Cyprinus carpio (common carp) is the source of this 1476-nucleotide long non-coding RNA. The record is from Ensembl. Lineage: Eukaryota; Metazoa; Chordata; Actinopteri; Cypriniformes; Cyprinidae.
GUAUCUGAGCAUGCGUUUAAUCAGAAGUCCAAUGAUUUAGGGCGCUGCCAUGUAUGGUAUAAGUAUUUUGGGAUAUGGAUCCACGAUGGCCAUGUUUGAAGUCUGAGGUGUAUGCUGGGUAUUGUAGUUCCCUGACCUGAAGGUCUGCAGCGCUUGAAUGAAGUGUUAGUUAAACGUGUUCAAUUGAAACCCUUUCAAAAAAAAAAAAAAAAAAAAAAAAUUGUUAAAACAUAUUUAGAUGUUACAUCCUAGGGGUUUUGUUUUAUAAAAUCUGUUGUGAGAAAAUGCUUGUAUGCCCUGUAUUGCGCGCUGUUUCUCUCUCUCACUCAGGUUAAUUACCAUCAGCUGCAACUCGUUGGGGAGCAUGCCUGAGUCUUAGUAGUUGCUCCUCUCACAGACCUCCUGAGCACAAUGAGAAUGUUUAGGUGGAGCAGGGACUGUGAUCGAGCAUUUGAAGCUGCUAAAGACCUGUUGAGUAAUGCCCCUGUGUUAGCUGCCCCUAACUUCAAGCUGCCAUUCAAACUGCAGGUGGAUGCAAGUCACGUCGGUGCCGGAGCUGUCCUUAUUCAAGAGGAUGCUCAAAGCGUUGAACACCCGGUGUCUUAUUUCUCCCACAAGUUCUCAAAGGCGUUUGCUGCGCUGGGCUCUCAAGCUUCAAGAUUUUAAUCUCCAGGUCCAGCACAUCAAAGGCACCGACAACAUUGUAGCCGAUGCGCUGUCCAGAUCUGUUGGGAUGGCAACUUAGGUGACGUGUAUGUUGGGGAUGGUGGUACAGAAACCUUAUAGAACCCUGGUCUGUAAUCUUCGUGGUGGGGGUGUUACAUCCUAGGGGUUUUGUUUUAUAUAAUCUGUUGUGAGAAAAUGCUUGUAUGCCCUGUAUUGCGCGCUGUUUCUCUUUCUCACUCAGGUUAAUUACCAUCAGCUGCAACUCGUUGGGGAGCAUGCCUGAGUCUUAGCAGAGGAGUAUUAAGGCAGCACUCAGAGAAGCAUGUGGGAGAGGAACACUUCUCCCCCAGCCUCAGACUGAGAUUGUGUGUUUGUGUAUUUUGGUGAGGACUGUGCCUAUCCUUGAGUUGGGAGUGGACCUAUACUCAUCUGGUUGGUGCUAAGACGUGAUCGGGUUUGCUGUCUAGUGUUGAUUUCUCUACCUGUGGGUAAUUAAAAGGUAUUGUAUGUAAUCUUAUUAGCUCUGGUCCUUCUAGAUUAUCUGGGAAAUGUAGGGAGAGGGUGCCUUUUUAUUUUAUACAUUCUUUUUCUCCUGUUUUUGGUUAGAGAGGGAGCUCAGGGAAGUUCUUGUUGUUGAUUUUCAUCUUUGCUUUUGUACAGGGUAGAUAGCUCCCUUAAACCUUAGUUAGCUCUGGUUUUCUUUGUUAUUUUAGGCCCUGCUCUCUCCUGAAGACUUAUUCCCAUCCUUUGUUAACCAUUUCAAUUUAUAACAGAAAUAAAUACUUUUGCUUGUACUUGAAGCUGUGUUUG